GGAUCUCACCAGGCUUGUGUGACACCAAAUUGCUGCCCCAGGGGCGUUGGAGCUGCUGCAAAUGAAUGUUUAAGUUGCUCUGAGCUCAUUGUCGAGGCAAACAGCUGGCGCUGCUGGAAUAUAGGAUUUCAGCGCUCUGAGUUCAAGGGAAACGGGAAAAAACCCUUUUUUGUGGAGCUCUCAAGGUUUAGCUCCCACCAGGGGCGAGUGGCUUUGUGUCCUGGGCAUUCCGAGUGCCUGAAAAUCCUCCCGAAAUUCCAAUUUCCUGCUCUUUAUUGCUCGGGGAACAUUCAGCCUAAUUGGGGGAGCAGUGGAAGGGGAAUUGCACCAGGAGGAAGAAUCCUCUCCUGGUUGCAGCCAGAAGGUGGAAUCCGCAUCUCCAAACUCUUUUCAACCCUGGGCACGUUGUUCACCAUGACCAAAAUGCUUUCCCUCAAAUGCAGGUGCCGACUCUUGGGUGCAUCCCCAGCACCUCCCCCUCAGCAGGGAGAGUCCAAGGUGGGAAUUGUGCUGGCAGGAUGGGCCCUGGGGUGUUCAAAAAACAAAAGUGGGGGAGAUAAGGAAGGCAAAGGCCACCUUGCCUUGUUUCCAGCAGCCCUGACUGCGUUGUCUCUCCGCUGAACAUCCUGCUCGGCAGCUGAGCCCUCUCCCCAGGGCUUUUCCACACCCCCUCUCCUUCCUGCAGGAGAACGUGGCUCUGCAGAUGGAGGUUGUUUGCUUUGUGGUUACGGAUCCGAGGAGAAAAUAAAAAGGGAGGGG
RNAcentral lists this long non-coding RNA (759 nucleotides) under Cyanistes caeruleus (blue tit). RNAcentral describes it as "lncRNA (ENSCCEG00000006431.1)". The record is from RNAcentral. Lineage: Eukaryota; Metazoa; Chordata; Aves; Passeriformes; Paridae.